Molecule: ribosomal RNA, 451 nt
Filed under: uncultured bacterium
Lineage: Bacteria
Description: bacterial SSU rRNA
Rfam family: Bacterial small subunit ribosomal RNA
Source: RNAcentral
UACGGAAGGCAGCAGUGGGGAAUAUUGCACAAUGGGCGCAAGCCUGAUGCAGCCAUGCCGCGUGUAUGAAAAAGGCCUUUCGGGUUGUAAAGUACUUUCAGUCGUGAGGAAGGUGUUAAGGUUAAUAACCUUAGCAAUUGACGUUAGCGACAGAAGAAGCACCGGCUAACUCCGUGCCAGCAGCCGCGGUAAUACGGAGGGUGCGAGCGUUAAUCGGAAUUACUGGGCGUAAAGGGCACGCAGGCGGUUAAUUAAGUUGGAUGUGAAAUCCCCGGGCUUAACCUGGGAAUGGCAUUCAAGACUGGUUAGCUAGAGUCUUGUAGAGGGGGUAGAAUUCCAUGUGUAGCGGUGAAAUGCGUAGAGAUGUGGAGGAAUACCGGUGGCGAAGGCGGCCCCUGGACAAAGACUGACGCUCAUGUGCGAAAGCGUGGGGAGCAAACAGGGAUUAGAU